GUGGGGAAUAUUGGACAAUGGGCGAAAGCCUGAUCCAGCAAUGCCGCGUGAGUGAUGAAGGCCUUAGGGUUGUAAAGCUCUUUUACCAGGGAUGAUAAUGACAGUACCUGGAGAAUAAGCUCCGGCUAACUCCGUGCCAGCAGCCGCGGUAAUACGGAGGGAGCUAGCGUUGUUCGGAAUUACUGGGCGUAAAGCGCGCGUAGGCGGCUCAGCAAGUCAGGGGUGAAAUCCCGGGGCUCAACCCCGGAACUGCCUUUGAAACUGCUAGGCUAGAAUCCUGGAGAGGCGAGUGGAAUUCCGAGUGUAGAGGUGAAAUUCGUAGAUAUUCGGAAGAACACCAGUGGCGAAGGCGACUCGCUGGACAGGUAUUGACGCUGAGGUGCGAAAGCGUGGGGAGCAAACAGGAUUAGAAACCCUAGUAGUCC
RNAcentral lists this ribosomal RNA (425 nucleotides) under uncultured bacterium. RNAcentral's name for it is "partial 16S ribosomal RNA". It matches the Rfam family "Bacterial small subunit ribosomal RNA", at positions 354 to 796 of the family's 1533-position model. The record is from RNAcentral.